This 270-nucleotide ribosomal RNA is filed under the name Pseudomonas aeruginosa. Its description in RNAcentral is "partial 16S ribosomal RNA". It matches the Rfam family "Bacterial small subunit ribosomal RNA", at positions 1133 to 1403 of the family's 1533-position model. The record is from RNAcentral. Lineage: Bacteria; Pseudomonadati; Pseudomonadota; Gammaproteobacteria; Pseudomonadales; Pseudomonadaceae.
GGGCACUCUAAGGAGACUGCCGGUGACAAACCGGAGGAAGGUGGGGAUGACGUCAAGUCAUCAUGCCCCUUCGGCCAGGGCUACACACGUGCUACAAUGGUCGGUACAAAGGGUAGCCAAGCCGCGAGGUCAAGCUAAUCCCAUAAAGCCGAUCGCAGUUCGGAUCGCAGUCUGCAACUCGACUGCGUGAAGUCGGAAUCGCUAGUAAUCGUAGAUCAGCAUGUCACGGUGAAUACGUUCCCGGGCCUUGUACACACCGCCCGUCACACC